AGACUUUGAUCAUGGCUCAGAACGAACGCUGGCGGCGUGCUUAACACAUGCAAGUCUAGGGGAAUUCGCUUUCGGGCGAUAGUACACUGGCGAACGGGUGAGUAACGCGUGAGAAACCUACCCCGGAGAUUGGGACAACACAGAGAAAUUUGUGCUAAUACCGGAUAAGCCCACGGGUUUAGUUAUUUGUGGGAAAAGACGGGGCAACCUGUCGCUUUGGGAUGGUCUCGCGUGUCAUUAGCUAGUUGGUAGGGUAACGGCCUACCAAGGCAACGAUGACUAGGCGGCCUGAGAGGGUGGCCGCCCACACUGGAACUGAGACACGGUCCAGACUCCUACGGGAGGCAGCAGUGGGGAAUUUUGCGCAAUGACCGAAAGGUUGACGCAGCAACGCCGCGUGUAUGAUGAAGGCUUUCGGGUCGUAAAGUACUUUCAGUGGGGAAGAACUGCAUAAUCAGUAACUGGGUUAUGAUUGACGGUACCCACAGAAGCAGCCCCGGCUAACUCCGUGCCAGCAGCCGCGGUAAUACGGAGGGGGCAAGCGUUGUUCGGAGUCACUGGGCGUAAAGAGCUCGUAGGCGGCAGUGUAAGUC
This 593-nucleotide ribosomal RNA is filed under the name uncultured bacterium. RNAcentral describes it as "bacterial SSU rRNA". It matches the Rfam family "Bacterial small subunit ribosomal RNA", at positions 8 to 589 of the family's 1533-position model. The record is from RNAcentral.